This is a long non-coding RNA of Biomphalaria glabrata, 389 nucleotides long. RefSeq lists it as uncharacterized. The record is from RefSeq and is a predicted model, not a curated record. The transcript has 3 exons. NCBI's taxonomy places the organism in Eukaryota, Metazoa, Mollusca, Gastropoda, Planorbidae.
AUUACAUGGACUGCCAACUCUACGCACUAAGCCUAUAUUUUUCAAUAAACAAGUCCCGUUCACGGAGGCGUCCUUGGUUGCGUGGUAAAUUGACUUCCGGUAGAUUUUUUUUACGUAUAAAGAAACCAUUCUCGAAGAUUUUUACCACCACUUUUACAGCAAAUCAUGAAUGGAAACUGAAUUGUUAAAGAAGAUGUUACAGAGGAGCAUACUACUUCCACAAACCUGAUUUGAUUGUCACUAACUUUCAAAUUGAAAGGGAUCUACUACAACUGCUCAAGAAUUUCGAGAUUUUACAGCUAAUAGAGGAACAAAUUUUAUCUGCUUCCACUUAGCCAAACAGCAUGGAAAUAUGCUAUUGUAAAGAGUAGAAGAUAUUUGUCAUUUAG